Long non-coding RNA from Grammomys surdaster, 339 nucleotides. RefSeq lists it as uncharacterized. The transcript is spliced from 3 exons. NCBI's taxonomy places the organism in Eukaryota, Metazoa, Chordata, Mammalia, Rodentia, Muridae. The record is from RefSeq and is a predicted model, not a curated record.
UGCAAGCACCGGAUCUGCACAACACCGCUCUUAUCGACAGCCAACCAAGGACAGGAACAGGUUCCUGGUGACCUGCUGUCUCUGCCAAUUCCUAGCUACUGGUGGAUUCUGGGGAAGGGAUAGUCAUUGUCUUCAGUUGUGUACCCAAGGAGUAUGGUGAGCAGUUACUUACAGAAAGAAAUCACUCAAAGAAAGCUGCAUCACUAAAGCCCAUCUCAGCAUGGGAGCCAGCUCUGGAGAGCUGAGGACACUGCAUGUGGCUCAACAGGUGAUACCAUCUACCUUUGCAAGCUUUUCCCUCUCCCCAAAGAGAAGACUCACAUGUGUCGAACCACUGCA